UAUAGUGUGCACCAUCCCUGAUCCCGGUGCCAUGGCUUUGGCUCUGCCCUACCUGCCCAAUGGAACGUGAGGAUAGCAUACAUCUCAGUCACACUCUAGUCAACCAUUAUUUUGUGAAUUAAAAAUACAGCGGUAAUGGCCUCUCCGUGCCUAGCAGUGCACCAUUUUGAGUAGAAAGAAAACGAGGGCAGCCAUUCACCGCAACCUUCUUGUAGCUUUAUUCCAAAUAUCGAUACACAUAUAAAAUCACUCCAUAGGUAAAGUGCUCUUGUGCGGACCCCGCCACGCAGCUGUCUCCGCCGAGCGGUCUGAAGAUAACAUGGUGGUAUCUGCAGCAGAUUUCACUGCAAAGGAGUCUAAGGCAGGGAUGUCAGCUAAAGACAAUUAAGUUUGACCUUUUUAUGAGGAAGAUUCUUCACGGUUAAAGUUUCAUCUACAUGAUUAUUACUUCGUUGUCAAGUUUCACAUGUUGUUUUCAAGUUUGGAUAUUCAAUUUUUUCAACUAUUUCCUGAAUUUUAGUCUGUGCAACAAAGUAAGAGGGAUUCAGAUAUUAUAUGUUAUGGACUCUGACCUGAUUGGCUAUUAUAAAUCUACUGUACGCAUGAUUUCUGUAAAGUUUUCUUCACUGUAACUGUUUUAACCCUUUGCUGCUAUGUGAGCUAGUAAAGAAGGAAUU
Hyla sarda is the source of this 677-nucleotide long non-coding RNA. RefSeq lists it as uncharacterized. The record is from RefSeq and is a predicted model, not a curated record. NCBI's taxonomy places the organism in Eukaryota, Metazoa, Chordata, Amphibia, Anura, Hylidae. The transcript is spliced from 4 exons.